This 465-nucleotide ribosomal RNA is filed under the name Duganella zoogloeoides. RNAcentral describes it as "bacterial SSU rRNA". It matches the Rfam family "Bacterial small subunit ribosomal RNA", at positions 64 to 526 of the family's 1533-position model. The record is from RNAcentral. Lineage: Bacteria; Pseudomonadati; Pseudomonadota; Betaproteobacteria; Burkholderiales; Oxalobacteraceae.
GAACGGCAGCGCGGGGCAACCUGGCGGCGAGUGGCGAACGGGUGAGUAAUAUAUCGGAACGUACCCUGGAGUGGGGGAUAACGUAGCGAAAGUUACGCUAAUACCGCAUACGAUCUAAGGAUGAAAGUGGGGGAUCGCAAGACCUCAUGCUCCUGGAGCGGCCGAUAUCUGAUUAGCUAGUUGGUAGGGUAAAAGCCUACCAAGGCAUCGAUCAGUAGCUGGUCUGAGAGGACGACCAGCCACACUGGAACUGAGACACGGUCCAGACUCCUACGGGAGGCAGCAGUGGGGAAUUUUGGACAAUGGGCGCAAGCCUGAUCCAGCAAUGCCGCGUGAGUGAAGAAGGCCUUCGGGUUGUAAAGCUCUUUUGUCAGGGAAGAAACGGUGGGGGCUAAUAUCUCCCACUAAUGACGGUACCUGAAGAAUAAGCACCGGCUAACUACGUGCCAGCAGCCGCGGUAAUAC